ACUUAUUCACACACCUUAUAUAAAUACCCAUUAGAUCCAACGUUUUGAAUCUGUUCAUAACAUUGAUGGAAACGAUAAUAAGCCGAGCAAUGAAAACUAUAAAAACCGUAAUUAAAUUAAUGAUCAAAACAAAUGAAUAUCAGGUUAAAAUUUUAUUACAUUUUAAUAAUCAUUUUUAUAGUUUUCAUAUCUAUACAUUCAAAAUCGUUAUUUUUUAUAUAUGUAUUAAUUGAUUGUUAAAGCUAUUUAAACAAUAUCCUAGGAGUGCACGAAGUAGUUUCCCAAAAAAGAAAACAUGAAACAUAUUUUAUUCUUCUUUGUCGUAUUGCUAGCAGCAAUUUCCAGUCUGCAAAUUGUGGUCAAGGCCGAAGAAGAUGACGACGCCUUUGGACAUCACAAGCAUUCACAAACACGUCGAAUUCGAUAUAGAAAAAAAAAUACCCUUGUGAGCUGAAUGAGUAUUUCAGAAUAAAUGAAUUGAAAUAAAAAUCUAAAACCUA
Long non-coding RNA from Harmonia axyridis, 500 nucleotides. RefSeq lists it as uncharacterized. Lineage: Eukaryota; Metazoa; Arthropoda; Insecta; Coleoptera; Coccinellidae. The record is from RefSeq and is a predicted model, not a curated record. The transcript has 2 exons.